CAGCAGGCGCGAAAACUUUACAAUGCGGGAAACCGUGAUAAGGGGACACCGAGUGCCAGCAUCAUAUGCUGGCUGUCCAGGUGUGUAAAAUACACCUGUUAGCAAGGGCCGGGCAAGACCGGUGCCAGCCGCCGCGGUAACACCGGCGGCCCGAGUGGUGAUCGUGAUUAUUGGGUCUAAAGGGUCCGUAGCCGGUUUGGUCAGUCCUCCGGGAAAUCUGACGGCUCAACCGUUAGGCUUUCGGGGGAUACUGCCAGGCUUGGAACCGGGAGAGGUAAGAGGUACUACAGGGGUAGGAGUGAAAUCUUGUAAUCCCUGUGAGACCACCUGUGGCGAAGGCGUCUUACCAGAACGGGUUCGACGGUGAGGGACGAAAGCUGGGGGCACGAACCGGAUUAGAUACCCGGGUAGUCCCAGCCGUAAACGAUGCUCGCUAGGUGUCAGGCAUGGCGCGACCGUGUCUGGUGCCGCAGGGAAGCCGUGAAGCGAGCCACCUGGGAAGUACGGCCGCAAGGCUGAAACUUAAAGGAAUUGGC
Molecule: ribosomal RNA, 536 nt
Filed under: uncultured archaeon
Lineage: Archaea
Description: bacterial SSU rRNA
Rfam family: Archaeal small subunit ribosomal RNA
Source: RNAcentral